UUCUACGUGUUAUAACUCUCAAACAAUGAACAUGCUCACGUAAACAUGCAUAAUUACAAAAUCAUAUAGUUACAUACUAGAUACCUUCUUUAAUUCAGAAAAGAACGGAUACAGACGAUUUCGUCACAUUAAUUAUUAUACAUUGUAUAUUCGUACUUUAUCCUUAAAAUAUUCAUCAAAUGUGCGGAUAAAAUUGUCAUAAGGGUCAAAUUUUCUAUUACUGGGGAGUGAGAAUGAGUUUUGCUGAUGAAAUAUUUGUUAAAAGACAGCAACUGAAGCACUUCUCGACUGUUUAACUCAUACUGAUGGCACAAAGGUUUUAACAAGCAACUUGACUUGUGGGGACAAAGUC
Molecule: long non-coding RNA, 352 nt
Organism: Xenia sp. Carnegie-2017
Lineage: Eukaryota; Metazoa; Cnidaria; Anthozoa; Malacalcyonacea; Xeniidae
Exons: 2
Source: RefSeq, a predicted model, not a curated record